Molecule: long non-coding RNA, 331 nt
Filed under: Anser brachyrhynchus (Pink-footed goose)
Lineage: Eukaryota; Metazoa; Chordata; Aves; Anseriformes; Anatidae
Description: lncRNA (ENSABRG00000017036.1)
Source: RNAcentral
CAGAAACUGAAUCUGGCAUGUGUUGCAAUCUGAAAUGAUGUGCUUACCCUGCUUGUGCUUAUGGACGACUAUUUUUUUUAGAGGUAAAUUGGAAGCACUAUUGCAGAUUUCAGUUUGCCUAAAAUAAUUUUCUCUGCUGGAUGGAACAGAUUAUUACAAGAUCCUGUGUGUGUGAAUUCCUGGCCUGAUGGAUGCUCCAGACCAUUGCUAAAAAAAAAACAAAAAAAAACCAAAAAACACACACACACUGAAAACAUAAAAAUCUUUUUGGAAAAUACAAGGUAAAAAACUCAUAUCAUAAAAAGCAGUAUUGAUGUUCUAAAUUUAAAUC